GACGAACGCUGGCGGUAUGCCUAAUACAUGCAAGUCGAACGCUGAAGCACUCUGCUUGCAGAGUGUGGAUGAGUGGCGAACGGGUGAGUAACACGUGGGGAACCUGCCCAUAAGAGGGGGAUAACAUCCGGAAACGGGUGCUAAUACCGCAUAGGUGAUCAUAGCGCAUGCUUAGAUCAUUAAAGAUGGCUUCGGCUAUCGCUUAUGGAUGGCCCCGCGGCGUAUUAGCUAGUUGGUGAGGUAAUGGCUCACCAAGGCUGUGAUACGUAGCCGACCUGAGAGGGUGAUCGGCCACACUGGAACUGAGACACGGUCCAGACUCCUACGGGAGGCAGCAGUAGGGAAUCUUCCACAAUGGGCGAAAGCCUGAUGGAGCAAUACCGCGUGAGUGAAGAAGGUCUUCGGAUCGUAAAGCUCUGUUGUUAGAGAAGAACAAGAGGUGUAGUAACUGGCACCUCCUUGACGGUAUCUAACCAGAAAGUCACGGCUAACUACGUGCCAGCAGCCGCGGUAAUACGUAGGUGACAAGCGUUGUCCGGAUUUAUUGGGCGUAAAGCGAGCGCAGGCGGUCUUUUAAGUCUGAUGUGAAAGCCCACGGCUCAACCGUGGAGGGUCAUUGGAAACUGGAAGACUUGAAUGCAGAAGAGGAAGGUGAAUUUCCAUGUGUAGCG
This 671-nucleotide ribosomal RNA is filed under the name uncultured Bacillus sp. RNAcentral's name for it is "bacterial SSU rRNA". It matches the Rfam family "Bacterial small subunit ribosomal RNA", at positions 28 to 680 of the family's 1533-position model. The record is from RNAcentral. Lineage: Bacteria; Bacillati; Bacillota; Bacilli; Caryophanales; Bacillaceae.